UGAAAUGCGUUGAGGCGCAGCAGUUGACUGGACAUCUAGGGGUAAAGCACUGUUUCGGUGCGGGCCGCGAUAGCAGUAUCAAAUCGAGGCAAACUCUGAAUACUAGAUAUGACCUCAAAAUAAGAGGGGUCAAGGUCAACCAGUGAGACGAUGGGGGAUAAGCUUCAGCGUCGAGAGGGAAACAACCCGGAUCACCAGCUAAGGCCCUUAAAGCUUCAUCGUUCGUGAAGAUCGACUUACUAAGAGUUCACCAAUCUUGAUAGUAGAGUGCAUGCCUAGCUAUGAAGCUCUCAUAUUUUCCAUUACCAUUGCGCUCAAAAUUAAUGCGUUGGUAA
Molecule: long non-coding RNA, 335 nt
Filed under: Helianthus annuus (common sunflower)
Lineage: Eukaryota; Viridiplantae; Streptophyta; Magnoliopsida; Asterales; Asteraceae
Description: Bacterial large subunit ribosomal RNA
Rfam family: Bacterial large subunit ribosomal RNA
Source: RNAcentral